This 424-nucleotide ribosomal RNA is filed under the name uncultured bacterium. RNAcentral describes it as "partial 16S ribosomal RNA". It matches the Rfam family "Bacterial small subunit ribosomal RNA", at positions 354 to 795 of the family's 1533-position model. The record is from RNAcentral.
GUGGGGAAUCUUAGACAAUGGGCGCAAGCCUGAUCUAGCCAUGCCGCGUGAGUGAUGAAGGCCCUAGGGUUGUAAAGCUCUUUCAGCUGGGAAGAUAAUGACGGUACCAGCAGAAGAAGCCCCGGCUAACUCCGUGCCAGCAGCCGCGGUAAUACGGAGGGGGCUAGCGUUGUUCGGAAUUACUGGGCGUAAAGCGCGCGUAGGCGGACUGAAAAGUUGGGGGUGAAAUCCCGGGGCUCAACCUCGGAACUGCCUUCAAAACUAUCAGUCUGGAGUUCGAGAGAGGUGAGUGGAAUGCCGAGUGUAGAGGUGAAAUUCGUAGAUAGUCGGAGGAACACCAGUGGCGAAGGCGGCUCACUGGCUCGAUACUGACGCUGAGGUGCGAAAGCGUGGGGAGCAAACAGGAUUAGAAACCCUAGUAGCC